RNAcentral lists this ribosomal RNA (328 nucleotides) under uncultured bacterium. RNAcentral describes it as "bacterial SSU rRNA". It matches the Rfam family "Bacterial small subunit ribosomal RNA", at positions 149 to 507 of the family's 1533-position model. The record is from RNAcentral.
CCACGAAGGUGUCUAAUACCUUAUAGUAUCCAUCUCGUAUGGAUUAAAGCUUUAUGCGCUUUGGGAGGGGCCUGCGUUUGAUUAGCUAGUUGGUGAGGUAAAAGCUCACCAAGGCGACGAUCAAUAGCUGGUUUGAGAGGAUGACCAGCCACACUGGGACUGAGAUACGGCCCAGACUCCUACGGGAGGCAGCAGUAAGGAAUCUUCCACAAUGGGGCAACCCUGAUGGAGCAAUACCGCGUGCAGGAUGAAGCGUUUCGGCGUGUAAACUGCUUUAUCACCGAAGAUUAUGACUGUAGGUGAAGAAUAAGGACCGGCUAACUACGUG